AAGAGGGUUGGACUGAAAACCUACAGGACCAGUAGAUCUCCAGGAAGAGGGUUGGACUGAAAACCUACAGGACCAGUAGAUCUCCAGGAAGAGGGUUGGACUGAAAACCUACAGGACCAGUAGAUCUCUAGGAAGAGGGCUGGGCAGCCCUGUACCUUAUCAUACCAGAUUCUGAGCCUCUCGUCUGGCUCUGUGAGAUUAGAUUAGUAGUCCCUCCCUCUUAUGAUUGUUGAUCUGUGGUGGAAAGAUGUUUUUAUUGCUUUACCUCAUUGCCAUGUUUUGCACCAGGACAGUUGGGGCUUUUCUCUAUGAUAUUAACCAGUGUAAAGACAACAACAGUACACUAACCCAGGUCCUAGAGUUCGAGGCAAAUGAAUAUCGUCAUUUCCCUUAGACGAAGUAGGGACCAUAUAGCCCAACAUAACAUACUGUACCAAAAGUGAAAAAACGCAAUUCAUUCUUACACCAUAUUGAUUCAUUCUUACAUACACCAUAUUGAUUCAUUCUUACAUACACCAUAUUGAUUCAUUCACUCGUACACCAUAUUGAUUCAUUCACUCUUACACCAUAUUGAUUCAUUCACUCUUACACCAUAUUGAUUCAUUCACUCUUACACCAUAUUGAUUCAUUCUUACAUACACCAUAUUGAUUCAUUCACUCUUACACCAUAUUGAUUCAUUCACUCGUACACCAUAUUGAUUCAUUCACUCUUACACCAUAUUGAUUCAUUCACUCUUACACCAUAUUGAUUCAUUCACUCGUACACCAUAUUGAUUCAUUCACUCGUACACCAUAUUGAUUCAUUCACUCUUACACCAUAUUGAUUCAUUCGAUAACCUUAUCAGAGUUUGUAUGAAUGGCACAGAGUCCCAGAUUAUGUUAUUUUAGUUAUAGGGCCGGAUCCCCAGACACACAGUCCUAGUUAUAGGACCGGAUCCCCAGACACACAGUCCUAGUUAUAGGGCCGGAUCCCCAGACACACAGUCCUAGUUAUAGGACCGGAUCCCCAGACACACAGUCCUAGUUAUAGGGCCGGAUUCCCAGACACACAGUCCUAGUUAUAGGGCCGGAUCCCCAGACACACAGUCCUAGUUAUAGGACCGGAUCCCCAGACACACAGUCCUAGUUAUAGGACCGGAUCCCCAGACACACAGUCCUAGUUAUAGGACCGGAUCCCCAGACACACAGUCCUAGUUAUAGGACCGGAUCCCCAGACACACAGUCCUAGUUAUAGGACCGGAUCCCCAGACACACAGUCCUAGUUAUAGGACCGGAUCCCCAGACACACAGUCCUAGUUAUAGGACCGGAUCCCCAGACACACAGUCCUAGUUAUAGGACCGGAUCCCCAGACACACAGUCCUAGUUAUAGGGCCGGAUCCCCAGACUCACAGUCCUAGUUAUAGGGCCGGAUCCCCAGACACACAGUCCUAGUUAUAGGACUGGAUCCCCAGACACACAGUCCUAGUUAUAGGGCCGGAUCCCCAGACACACAGUCCUAGUUAUAGGACCGGAUCCCCAGACACACAGUCCUUGUCGAGGAGAAGUUCCAUUGAAAAAGUGUUUUAGGUGCAGGUAACCUAGUGAUUAGAACAUUGGACUAGUAACCUAAAGGUUGCUGGAUCGAAUCCCAGAGUUGACCAGGUAAAAAUCUCUCGUUCUGCCCUUGAACAAGGCGGUUAACCCACUGUUUCCCGGUAGGCCGUCAUUGUAAAUAAGAAUUUGUUCUUAACUGACUUGCCUAGUUAAACAAAUUGAAAUUGUCCAGAAUUAGGCUUAAUCUGUAUCUGGGAAACAGGCCCAACAGGUAGAUUUAUGUGUUGUACCCAUAGAGUUAGGUAGAUUUAUGUGUUGUACCCAUAGAGUUAGGUAGAUUUAUGUGUUGUACCCAUAGAGUUAGGUAGAUUUGUGUUGUACCCAUAGAGUUAGGUAGAUUUAUGUGUUGUACCCAUAGAGUUAGGUAGAUUUAUGUGUUGUACCCAUAGAGUUAGGUAGAUUUAUGUGUUGUACCCAUAGAGUUAGGUAGAUGUAUGUGUUGAGCCCAUAGAGUUAGGUAGAUGUAUGUGUUGAGCCCCAUAGAGUUAGGUAGAUGUUUGUGUUGAGCCCCAUAGAGUUAGGUAGAUGUUUGUGUUGAGCCCAUAGAGUUAGGUAGGUUUAUGUGUUGAGCCCCAUAGAGUUAGGUAGAUGUAUGUGUUGUGCCCCAGGCAACAUUUUCUAUUUCAUUAAGGGACUUUUUCUUUUCAUUUGUGGUCCACCACCUUCACUCCUUCCGGGAUAUGUGCAAUAUGGUAUCUUAUUACCUGUCAUGAUGUGGAUAUGAAUAUGUAAUAUUGUAUGAACAAGUGACACGUUGUUUGAAAACAACAAAAUUACCAACGUCUUCCAUUAAGAAAUAUUUAUAGUCUUUAUAUGCAUUAGCUUGUUUAGAGGGACUGUGGUGCCAAUAUUAUAACUAACCAUGCAUGAAGGGUUGCUGGUGUUGCUUGCUUUAUGAAUAACCAAAAGGUUGCGAGGUCAAAUCCCCGAGCUGACAAGGUACAAAUCUGUUGUUCUGCCCCCUGAACAAGGCAGUUAACCCACUGUUCCUAGGCCGUCAUUGUAAAAUAACAAUUUGUUUCUCAACUGACUUGCGUAGUUAAAAAAAAUAAGGAAACAUUGUUUUCUAAAAACAGAACAUGUUUGGGAGAUUUGAUUAAAUUGUUAAAUUCUAUUCAGAGUGAAUUUCACCACAGAUAUACAGUUAUCUAAACGGUAUUUUAUGGAAUUAACACCUUUAGAAGCAGACAUAUUGACAUCCAGUGUGUUUACACAGGCAGCCCAAUUCUGAUCUUUUUUUUCCACUAAUUGGUCUUUUUGACCAAUCAGAUCGGCUCUUUUGCCACUAAUUGGUAUUUUUGGCCAAUCAGAUCUUCUCUUUUGCCAAUAAUUAGACAACAUAUUAGAGUUGUGCUUCCUGUGGAAACAGCCUUGAUCAAUAAAAUAACGAUCUAGAAUAUGAGAAUAUAUUUAGUUAAAAAGCAAGGCAUCUAGACAUUUCAGAAGAAAAUAAAAAAAUUCUGCACGAUUUUUCAGUUUAUUUGAUCUAUUGUAAUCUCUGUUUUUAAAGGAAUGUUUAGCAUAUUAGUAGCUAUAUAAUUUAAUGUUUUUUUUUUGUUUAGAGGGAAGACUAUGGUGUAUACUGUGGUUUAGGAGGAUGUAUGUUCCUCAUAUGAAACACCCAACGGUGCGUGAAGUACCACAUGUUGAAACAGAACGACUGACAUUUGAAUUGGCAAAACGGUCUUCUGGGGAAAUUCAAUGUUCAAGCUACGUUCCCUAUGGUACUAGUGCACUACUUUUUGACCGGGGAGGGGGGCAUAGGGCUCUGGUACAAAGUAGUGCACUAUGUAGGGAAUAGGGUGUCAUUUUUGGAAGUAGCCUCGGACUCGUACAGCAUCAUUCUGUAAGAACUAAGAACCCACUGAUUUAGGAGGCCUGUGUUGAUGCCUCUUUUCACGGUUUACAUUCUGUUCAAAUGUUGCACCGUUGUCCAUAUCAAUCGAACUAUGUAUGCAUGUGAAUUAUUAUGCAUCCUUCCUAUUUAAUUGAACGUAAUAGAGCUGCCUCAAGGAGAAACGACUGAGCAAAAAAAUAUAUAUAAUAAUAAUUAUGCUGUAACCCUUUCUUGACAUGUGUGAUCUAAUUCACUUCCUGUGUGAACUAAUUCACUUCCUGUGUGAACUAAUUCACUUCCUGUGUGAACUAAUUCACUUCCUGUGUGAACUAAUUCACUUCCUGUGUGAACUAAUUCACUUCCUGUCUUGAAUACUGUGUUUAAAAAAAUAUAUAUUAAAAAAAUUGUAACGCUACAUAAUGUGGCAAUGCUUAGGAUAGGUAAAUCUAGAAUGUAUCGAUCGUUUAAAACUAUAUUAAAUGCGAGGAGAAAAUAUUAUGCAUGACUAAAAGUAAUCAAUGAUUUGUAUCGCGGGCACUAAUCAACUUGGGAAUUUGCGUUGAUCAUUAGAUCUGUGAUACUGAAAGGUUGAUAUUGUGGCGCUGUGAUAUAAGGUAGUAAUACGUUUUACAGGUCUUGAAUAACAGGGGAUGGUUGUUGACAUCACCCUGAGCACAUUGUUUUGAUAAAAAGAAUGUACGAUGUUGAUCAACAGCCUGAAAUCCAGGCUGUUUGCGCUAUCAUUCUACUAUCAUUCUACUAUCAUUAGACUAUCAUCGACUAUCAUUCUACUAUCAUUUGACUAUCAUUCUACUAUCAUUUGACUAUCAUUCUACUAUCAUUCUAAUGUCAAGGAGUGGAAUGAUGGCCCAAAAGACUGGAUUUCAGGCUGUUGAUCCAAGUAUUACUUGUAAACAAACAGAAUGAGUUGACUGUGCGUUGUGGUGUGACUAUGCACUCCAGCGAGAGGCCCUGGGGCAUGCUGGAGCAACGGAGUCUCCCGUCUCGGUUGUGGAUUAACUGAAGAAAUCUGCAUCAGAAAUGUAGCAAUAAAAAGCAGCAUGGUGCCAAUGACA
This is a long non-coding RNA of Oncorhynchus tshawytscha (Chinook salmon), 4507 nucleotides long. RefSeq lists it as uncharacterized. The record is from RefSeq and is a predicted model, not a curated record. NCBI's taxonomy places the organism in Eukaryota, Metazoa, Chordata, Actinopteri, Salmoniformes, Salmonidae. The transcript is spliced from 2 exons.